RNAcentral lists this ribosomal RNA (239 nucleotides) under uncultured bacterium. Its description in RNAcentral is "partial 16S ribosomal RNA". It matches the Rfam family "Bacterial small subunit ribosomal RNA", at positions 118 to 345 of the family's 1533-position model. The record is from RNAcentral.
UGGGUAACCUGCCUCAAAGAGGGGAAUAGCCUCCCGAAAGGGAGAUUAAUACCGCAUAAUAUGUUUUAAUCGCAUGAUUUUAACAUCAAAGGAUUUUCUUCGGAACUUCCACUUUGAGAUGGACCCGCGGCGCAUUAGCUAGUUGGUGAGGUAACGGCUCACCAAGGCAACGAUGCGUAGCCGACCUGAGGAGGGUGAUCGGCCACAUUGGAACUGAGACACGGUCCAGCUCCGUAGGG